This is a long non-coding RNA of Megalobrama amblycephala (Wuchang bream), 2416 nucleotides long. RefSeq lists it as uncharacterized. The transcript has 3 exons. NCBI's taxonomy places the organism in Eukaryota, Metazoa, Chordata, Actinopteri, Cypriniformes, Xenocyprididae. The record is from RefSeq and is a predicted model, not a curated record.
GUUUAAUGCAUGAUGACGCAGUUACUAUUAGUUACCAGCUCGUGAAGUCAUAUGAUGACUCUUUCUUUCUGCUCCAGUUUUCAGUGCAGUUUCACCCCUGGCAAAGAGUGGGAAAAACCAAAGCUUGUACCACCUGACCACUGCAGAUUUAAGGUGUGUUCGACCUGAAGAGGCGCUGUGCAGACCCAUCUGUGACAUCAGAGUGAUUCGAAAGCAUACAGAGCUUAAUUUACAACUCUGGCACCCCAUGAAGUCGAUGAGCCUAGCAUGCAGCCCUGUGUGAGACACAUUUUUCAACACCUGAAGUGAUCGCAGCAGGAAAAAAACUCCAAAAUGAGAUCAACUAAAAAACAGCUAGUUGCCAACAGCUGCCGAGCACUUUUUGGCAAGAGAACGUCCUCCUGGCAGAGGCCUCGGCAGACAUAAUUCUCACUAUCUGCUAAUGGCGUGGGGAGUCUUUUCAAGCAGGGAAACAGAGGACAGAGACAACACACUAUACUGACAAGAUUAAUAAUGAACCGAAUGGAAAGGAAAGGAUUUACAUAGGAUUCUGUCUGGACCUUUGAAUCCAUUUUUCUUUUAAUAUUCUGAUUGCUGCAAAAGAAAUGGAAGGGAGAAAGAAAUAUAAGGAGUAGUAUGAGAAAAGCUGAAGAGACUGCUUAAAAUAGAAUGAGAAAACAAAGACUGUAUGGUCCAAAUAUGGAAAGAUAAACAGACAGACGGGGGAAGAUGAGAAUCUAAGUGAACACUUGAGAAAAUGUUUUUAAACAAAUGACCCUGGAUUGGCCACUAGGCAAAGAUACUAGAAGCAAUUGCAAAUGAAAACUGAAACACUUAAAGUCCACAGUACUUCUGUUAAAGAGCUGACAACAUGCAGUAACAAAUAUUUGUACUUUAUCCAAAGAAAAUUUAAGUGGUCCUUGCCUGGGCAAAACUCGCAGCUACAAUACCCAAAAGUCUUGAAAAUAGUAUUUAAUGCAUUUCUAUGUAGUGUCUUAGAUGUUUCAGGUGAUUAUAUGUGUUCUAGGGCAGGGGUGUUCAAUCCUGCUCCUAAAGGGGACAAAGUCCUGCAGAGUUUAGCUCCAAUCCUAAUCAAACACACCUGAAGCUGCUAAUCGAGAUCUCUGUGAUAUUCUGGUCUACAGGGCUGAAUUCCCAAAUGGCACCUUAUACCCUCACAGUCUUCCUCUACUUCCGCACUUUCAUGAUGCUAUGCCCCUUUGACUGCCGGGUAAAGUCCUCUGCUUAGCUUGCGGACUCAGCAGAAGUGCCCAUCGAGGGCGCAUAGGGCACUCAUGAGCACCCUUCUGAAACCUAAAAUGAUGAAUGGGACACGUGUACGCGGCAGCCAUUGUAAGUCCACAAGACCAAAAGUGCACAGAAGUGUGCCAUUUGGGAUUCAGCCUAGAUAUGGCUUUGAUCCCUCUUUCAAUGUAGGCAUGUGGUAUUUUUCACAUUUUAUUACCCACCGACAGAUGAAAAUUGUACGACUUAGCUUAGAAAAGUAAGAGCACAUUUUUCCUGUAAUAAGCCACACAAUUUAGUGAAUAGUGAAGUGACCUGAAGGCCAAGUAUGGUAACCCAUACUCGCAAUUUUCCUCUGUAUUUAACCCAUCCAUGUUAGUGCACACACAUUAGGAGUAGUGAGUAGUGAACACACACCCGGAGCAGUGGGCUGCCAUUCACUGUGGCGCCCGGGAGUGAUUGGGGAUUAGGUCAGUCAUUUUCUGCUGGUAUCGAGAAUCAAACCCUAACUUAAAAUUAGAGAUUUGAACUAAACCUAAGUAUAAGCAAUAGUAGUGAUGCUUACCUUAGCACACACAAAUAAUGAGAAGAACGACAGUACAACAUCUUCAUGCAAUCUUUUUUGAAGAUAUUGAAUACAAACAUUUCAUGUUUCACAUUUAGACUCUUACCUGUCAGAAGGAAAGGCUAGAUUCUUUUCAGAAAGUUUAUGGCAGCUCCUUUUACUUUCAUCAAGUUUAUAGCAAUUCCUAAGACCUUCAUGGUCACCUUUGGGCUCUGUGGUGCACCUGCAUCUGGCCAACAGGCUUGGAGUUUUGCACAAGGUGGAAAACAACACAAACCAAAGUCAGGGGGUGCUUCGUGUCAGCUCCACCCCCCCAUAGGAUGCGAGGGAAGGAUGCAAAGAAAGAAAAUGAGGAUGCAAUAAUCGAAGAAAAGCUUAUUUGUACAUUGGAAUAUUCUUGAUCACUCAAAAGUAACUUCAAAGCGUCAUCAGCUGCGCUCAAGGGAUCUGCCCUUAUGUUGAAGAAGUUUGGUUAUUUAAGAAAUUCAUAAUAAAUAAUAAUAACGCAAGAUGCCCUUUUGAAACGUGAGAUGUAAGGUUUAUUUAAAGGUGCCGUAGAACAUCUUUUUAAAAGAUGUAAUAUAAGUCUAAGGUGUCCCCUGAAUG